This is a long non-coding RNA of Aegilops tauschii subsp. strangulata, 1191 nucleotides long. RefSeq lists it as uncharacterized. Lineage: Eukaryota; Viridiplantae; Streptophyta; Magnoliopsida; Poales; Poaceae. The record is from RefSeq and is a predicted model, not a curated record.
GCGUGAUGGCAGGUGUGUAUGGCGGCGACCACAAGCUCUCCGGGAGCUCCGCAUCUGAGUCUCGGCCAUCCUCCACAGCAAGGAGCUGGGCCAAGGGAGCUAGCAGCGCUACUGGUUUCUUGAGGCCGGAUCGUGUAAGAUGGUGCACCACGGCGUGCGGCGGCCUAUUCUGUCGUAGUGGGUUAUGAUGAUAUUUCCAAGGAAAUAUACUGACUCUGAUGUGGCUAAGGUGCCCAUUUGCCCUUUCUGAAACAAUUUUACUCUGUUUUGUGUUCUUCCUGCAUGUCCAGUUUCACAUUGCUUGUGUUUCAUGCCAUAUUCAUCAAUCCUGCUCACAUUGCUGUUGUUUUUUCAAUAGCAAAUAAAUAAAUAAAGUAAAUGUACUAUAUCUUGGUAUUCUAGAACUUCAGUGCCUCACAGAAGUUGCUUUAUGUACUGCUUUAGCUUGCAAACCUGAUGAUUUGUUGUCUGUUCUCAUUUCUUAAGUUUGAAAUGUUUCAAACCUGAUGAUAAAGUAAAUGUACUAUUUCUUUAGUUUCUUUAGUUUGCUGCUGACAUGUGGAGGAGAAAGCCACAGGAAUCACCAUCUCAACGGUCCGGCCUUAGUGCUUGCUGCUGACAUUUUGCUGCUAUUGUUCUGCUAGCCAUUCUGCUGACAUUUUGCAGGUGACGCGCAGCCCCCAGGGAGCUCCGCAUCCAAGUCUAGUGUAGGGUAUUUCUGUUUUAAUUUUCUUUGUCAUAGAAUAGUUUUGUUUGGCACUUAUUGUUCCUGGGAUGUAAAGAUAUGUAUUGCUGGAAUGAAUGGUUGUAAUAUAAUAUCAUUGCACGUUGCUUUGAAAAUGUAUCAGAACUGGGCUAGGCCCAAGAUAGCUUGUGGUGUGAUGAGUUGUAAUGUUUAUGGUAUAGUAAUUUUUUUGGAUUGGAUUAAUUUUUUCAGAACUGGGCUAGGCCCAAGUUAUAUUGGACAAUUAUUUUUGAGGGAAAAACAUGAGAGGCCCAGCAAAGAAAUGGCCCAGAAAAAUACAUGAUCAAAAAGAAAAUCUGCUGUUAAAAGGGCCACACAAAGAAAUCAAUAGGGCUGAAUUGUUGGGUCAGACCCAUGUAGCUAAUAAAAGCACAGGAAAAAAAUACAUUAAAAAGGCCGAAUUGUUGGGCUAGGCCCAUGUAGAAAAUUGAUUUGGACCGGGCUGA